RNAcentral lists this ribosomal RNA (517 nucleotides) under Candidatus Woesearchaeota archaeon. Its description in RNAcentral is "bacterial SSU rRNA". It matches the Rfam family "Archaeal small subunit ribosomal RNA", at positions 1 to 523 of the family's 1478-position model. Lineage: Archaea; Nanobdellati; Candidatus Woesearchaeota. The record is from RNAcentral.
GAAUUCCCGUUGAUCCUGCGGGCGAUUGCUGCUAUUGGGAUUCGACUAAGCCAUGCAUGUCUAGGGUAGCAAUACACUGGCAAAAGGCUCAGUAACACGUCGAUAAUCUUCCCUGAGGUCAUGGAUAACCAUGGGAAACUGUGGCUAAACCGUGAUAGAGAAAAGAAUCUGGAACGAUCUUUUCUCGAAACUCGUGCCUCAGGAUGAGUUGGCGGCGGAUUAGGUUGUUGGUCGAGGUAAAGGCUCACCAAGCCCAUGAUCCGUAGGGGCCCUGAGAGGGGUAGCCCCGAGAAGGUCACUGAGACACUGGACCUAGCCCCACGGGGUGCAGCAGGCGCGGAACCUUUACAAUGCACGCAAGUGUGAUAAGGGGAUCCCAAGUGCUUAUGUUUUACAUAGGCUUUUGUGAAGGGUAAAAACCUUGACGAAUAAGUGGUGGGAAAGACUGGUGCCAGCAGCCGCGGUAACACCAGCGCCACAAGUGGCAAUCGACAUUAUUGGGCCUAAAGCGUCCGUA